Molecule: long non-coding RNA, 843 nt
Filed under: Nicotiana benthamiana
Lineage: Eukaryota; Viridiplantae; Streptophyta; Magnoliopsida; Solanales; Solanaceae
Description: long non-coding RNA (NBEN_LNC011118)
Source: RNAcentral
UAAUGGCAAUGUAACAGUUGCCUUAUCGUGCGCCGAGAGAAAGUUUAAGCAUGCUCACCAGUACCCUUCUGUAUUUUUACUUUUUGUGCUCACUUUAUUGGUCUCGUAUCUUAAUUUAAAGUUCUAACUAGCAAUAUCAUAUGAAAUUUAAUGUUGGACCUCUAAGACCUAAAUUUUCCACAAGAUGAGUAUUGGAGAAAUGUGGACGUAAAGCUAAAUGUGCUGUGAUAUAGAAAUGAUCAGAUCAUAUGGAUUGGAAAGUAGCUGCCAUAGAGAUAAACGAGAGGAAGUCACCACGAGAUGGUUUGGUCGUGUUCAACGUAGAUCUCUAACUGUUCUUGUAUGUAAUUAUGGCACUAUGAUGGGGAAUGAUGUAAACCUAAAGUUACAAAGAAGUAACUUGCUCAAAAGAUCUCAAAUUCCUCCAAUCCGUGAGGACUUACAGAAACAGAAAACAACAGAAGUAAAAAAGUUGGUACAUUUAUAUUAGGCAUGGUAUUUUUAUGAGUCUUGUUUGUAUGCUUAAAGAUUUAUAUGUCAAUUGAAAAUGUAGAGACAUUAAUUAUUAUAAGAACCCAGAUUGUUGAGUAUUGAAAUAAAAGGGGUAUAAAGGGGUCCAGAUGAAGCAAAGUGGUACUAUUAGGAUCAUGUACCAAUAAAAACUACCUUGGAAUUGAUGUAUUAUAGUUGUUUUAAAAAUAUUUUACAGUCCAUAGGACAUUCAUUAAACUUUGUAACUUUGAUUUCAUUCAACAUCAGUACAACUAUUAACUAGAAGUGUGUACUGAGAUUCCUCAUUUUUUCAUUCAUCUAUUUCAUUAUUUUACACCUAUUGAUCUUUCC